AGGGCAGUUUGGAUGCUGAGUGGCUGCAGAUCAACAGUGUGUUCUCAGAGGUGAUCAGAUCAGUGGAGGACGCUCGGCUGAAAGGCCUCGAGCCUCUGGAGAAGAGGAGACAAAAAGUAAAAAGAGAAGCACAAAAUCUCCUGCAAACGCUGCAAGGAGAAAUUGAUAGACUCAGAAACUCCAUUGAUGAACUGGAAAGAAACCCAGACUUGCAGGCCUCUCCACCUUCAGGCCUGGAUGACUCUAAAGGGAUGAACAAUCUACAUAU
This is a long non-coding RNA of Girardinichthys multiradiatus, 268 nucleotides long. RefSeq lists it as uncharacterized. The transcript has 3 exons. The record is from RefSeq and is a predicted model, not a curated record. NCBI's taxonomy places the organism in Eukaryota, Metazoa, Chordata, Actinopteri, Cyprinodontiformes, Goodeidae.